GACGAACGCUGGCGGCGUGCUUAACACAUGCAAGUCGAACGGAAAGACCCUGCUUUUGUGGGGUGCUCGAGUGGCGAACGGGUGAGUAACACGUGAGUAACCUGCCCUUGACUUUGGGAUAACUUCAGGAAACUGGGGCUAAUACCGGAUAGGAGCUCCUGCUGCAUGGUGGGGGUUGGAAAGUUUCGGCGGUUGGGGAUGGACUCGCGGCUUAUCAGCUUGUUGGUGGGGUAGUGGCUUACCAAGGCUUUGACGGGUAGCCGGCCUGAGAGGGUGACCGGCCACAUUGGGACUGAGAUACGGCCCAGACUCCUACGGGAGGCAGCAGUGGGGAAUAUUGCACAAUGGGCGGAAGCCUGAUGCAGCAACGCCGCGUGCGGGAUAACGGCCUUCGGGUUGUAAACCGCUUUCGCCUGUGACGAAGCGUGAGUGACGGUAAUGGGUAAAGAAGCACCGGCUAACUACGUG
RNAcentral lists this ribosomal RNA (468 nucleotides) under uncultured bacterium. Its description in RNAcentral is "partial 16S ribosomal RNA". It matches the Rfam family "Bacterial small subunit ribosomal RNA", at positions 28 to 507 of the family's 1533-position model. The record is from RNAcentral.